GGGUUACUGAAUCAUCUGAUUUUGUGAAAGUAAAAUUGCUAAAUUGAUUGCUAAAUGAGUCUAAAUUUAAUUUCUAGGUAAAUGUAAAAAUUAUAAAAGUGUUUAACCAACUUUAAAUGAAUAGUCUCUUCAUUCGUAAAGGUAAUGAAAGGAAAUAUAACUCAUUUGGGUGACUAUUUCGAAAUAUUAAACAUUCGUCUUCUUAAAUUGAGAUUAUUUUAAACAUGAACCUGUGACAUUUUGGUACUGGCUAGAGGUGAUACUAUUAUAAGACUUGGGAUACUUGGACGUGGAUCAAACCUGUGAAAAGAUACAAAUUGCUUGAGAUGUCCGUUUCAAAAGAGACUAAAAAUAUCCAAGGAUUGUUAAUCAUUGAAAAAUAUUGCAAAAGUGCUCAUUUGUUACAAGAACAGAUGAAAAGUUUGUCUGGAAUGGUAAAUAAAUGAUGGUAAAACAGUUUAUAUCUAAUUUGGACAAAAUGCAUCUCAAUCUUUGGAUGGAAGCCAGGUGACAUAAUCUGGUUCAUCAGAACAGUAAUCAGCAACGGUUUAACAAUGAUUACAAGACAAAGCCUAAAAUUCAUGGAAAUAUAAUCUGAUAAAAAGUGGAAAAGGUAAAUGUCUUAACCAAGAAGGAUGGAACAAUUGGAAUAAAGCAUCACAGGAGGAAAAUGAUAGUUUCUCAUCAACAUGCACAUUGGUUUUUGAUCAGGCAUUUUGAUGUGUAAGGUGGGAAAAAAAGAUGUAAAUGAAGGGAAAUAUGGUGAAAAGGAGAAGCAAAAAUUCCUUUUGAAAAGAGUGAAUCAUUGAAAUACCUUAUUGGUGUGUAAAAUGAUUUUGUAAAAUUCAUUUUUUCGUCAUUCUGUGGCCAAUUUAAUAUCAUCACUAAACGUAUUUCAUAUUAAUAUAAAUUUUAAAUUAAAAUAUGUUUAUUUCAAUAUAUUUGGCCCAGUUUCAGUUUAACCAAAUCUGUUGAAAGUAUUUUGUUCCAUUUCACCAUCUUCUUCAUCAUCAUCACCCAUUCUGAGUGCAAUAUUUAUAGGUAAAGCAAAUUGUAAUAUAUUUCAUAUGUAAUUGUUCAACCUGUUUACACAUUUACUUUCAAUGAUUCUCAUUUUCAUCCAGGAAUCCUUUUUUUUCACUGCUUGUUACAACUGAAUAUGAAAAAUGUUUUCCCAGUUUUCAUCAAAUUUUCAUUUCAUCACGCAACACAAUUUCACACUUUUAACUCAUUUAAUACUCUUUAUUAACGGUUAUGAUGACGAUCAUGGGAAUGAUGCAGCUGUAACCUGUUGACUUAUUGUUUUACUGUGUAAAAAUAUCACCCAUUUGUUGACCUUAUUUGAAAAUGAAUGAAACAAAAACGGAAUGAGAAAAUAACAUUAAAAAUUACAUCUACUUGUAAUACAUAUUUCAUUUGCCAUUAAA
Tetranychus urticae (two-spotted spider mite) is the source of this 1427-nucleotide long non-coding RNA. RefSeq lists it as uncharacterized. NCBI's taxonomy places the organism in Eukaryota, Metazoa, Arthropoda, Arachnida, Trombidiformes, Tetranychidae. The record is from RefSeq and is a predicted model, not a curated record.